This 1282-nucleotide non-coding RNA is filed under the name Drosophila virilis. RNAcentral describes it as "Eukaryotic large subunit ribosomal RNA". It matches the Rfam family "Eukaryotic large subunit ribosomal RNA", at positions 2320 to 3399 of the family's 3401-position model. Lineage: Eukaryota; Metazoa; Arthropoda; Insecta; Diptera; Drosophilidae. The record is from Rfam by way of RNAcentral.
UAAACAAAUAUGUUUUGUUUAGUCCCUAUCUACGAUCUAGCGAAACCACAGCCAAAGGAAUGGGCUUGAAAUAAUUAGCGGGGAAAGAAGACCAUUUUGAGCUUGACUCUAAUCUGGCAGUGUAAGGAGACAUAAGAGGUGUAGAAUAAGUGGGAUAAGGAGAUAUUAGACUUCGGUUUGGUAUCGACAAUGAAAUACCACUACUCUUAUUGUUUCCUUACUUACUUGAUUAAAUGGAACGUGUAUCAUUUCCUACCCAUUAUACGGAUAUAAUUAUUAUGUCUUAUGGUAUUGGGUUUUGAUGCAAGCUUCUUGAUCAAAGAAUCACGAGUUUGUUAUAUAAUCGCAAACAAAUUCUUUAAUGAGAGAAUGCAUUUAUGUAUUAUUGAUUUAAAAAUUUGGUAUAACUCCAAUUACUCAGGUAUGAUCCAAUUCAAGGACAUUGCCAGGUAGGGAGUUUGACUGGGGCGGUACAUCUCUCAAAUAAUAACGGAGGUGUCCCAAGGCCAGCUCAGUGCGGACAGAAACCACACAUAGAGCAAAAGGGCAAAUGCUGACUUGAUCUCGGUGUUCAGUACACACAGGGACAGCAAAAGCUCGGCCUAUCUAUCCUUUUGGUUUAAAGAGUUUUUACCAAGAGGUGUCAGAAAAGUUACCAUAGGGAUAACUGGCUUGUGGCGGCCAAGCGUUCAUAGCGACGUCGCUUUUUGAUCCUUCGAUGUCGGCUCUUCCUAUCAUUGUGAAGCAAAAUUCACCAAGCGUUGGAUUGUUCACCCAUGCAAGGGAACGUGAGCUGGGUUUAGACCGUCGUGAGACAGGUUAGUUUUACCCUACUAAUGACAAAACGUUGUUGCGACAGCAUUCCUGCGUAGUACGAGAGGAACCGCAGGUACGGACCAAUGGCACAAUACUUGUUCGAGCGAACAGUGGUAUGACGCUACGUCCGUUGGAUUAUGCCUGAACGCCUCUAAUGUCGUAUCCGUGCUGGACUGCUAUGAUAAAUAAGGGGCAAUUUGCAUUGGAUGGCUUCUAAACCAUUAAAAGUUUUUAAUUUGUUUUAUUAACGACAAUGGAUGUGAUGCCAAUGUUAUUUAUAACAUAGUAAAUUGGGAGGAUCUUCGAUCACCUGAUGCCGCGCUAGUUAUAUUUUAAAACAUUAUUUAAUACAAUGUCAAAGCCUAGAAUCAAUAGUAAACGGCUUUUGUAACAGGCAAGGUGUUGUAAGUGGUUGAGCAGCUGCCAUACUGCGAUCCACUGAAGCUUGUCCUUUGCUUGAUGAUUC